UAGGCGUAAAUGAUGCGAGUUAAGUGUGGGGGCAUCUACGAGAUGGCCCUGUGCUGUAGGGUAGCCGUUAAACUCGCUGCCUGGGGAGUACGGUCGCAAGGCUGAAACUUAAAGGAAUUGGCGGGGGGAGCACCACAACGGGUGGAGCCUGCGGUUUAAUUGGACUCAACGCCGGGAAGCUUACCGGAUAAGACAGCGGAAUGAUUGCCGGGCUGAAGACCCUGCAUGACCAGCUGAGAGGAGGUGCAUGGCGUAGUCGUGU
Molecule: ribosomal RNA, 262 nt
Filed under: uncultured archaeon
Lineage: Archaea
Description: partial 16S ribosomal RNA
Rfam family: Archaeal small subunit ribosomal RNA
Source: RNAcentral